Molecule: long non-coding RNA, 444 nt
Organism: Mastomys coucha (southern multimammate mouse)
Lineage: Eukaryota; Metazoa; Chordata; Mammalia; Rodentia; Muridae
Exons: 3
Source: RefSeq, a predicted model, not a curated record
UGUGGAGUCCCAAGGAGUUUUUAUGAGCCUCUGUCGCUGAGUGAAGGGAUUAAUGUGCGGAAGGAUACCAUUCUCCAGUUGUGCCACUUGUGCCAGUCUGCCGAGGAAACCGCUCCACUUCAUCUCUAACCCUUCAACUCAUGAAUGCGUUUGUGGGUAGUUGUGGUGAUGGCGGUUGUAGGCAUGUGCUACAGCAUGCUGAGCUUGUGGGAAUCAGCUUUUUCUUCCUGCUAUGUGGUUUCCAGAGACUGAACAUGGGUCAUCAGUCUUGAUGGUUUCUGUUCACUGCAAGGUAAAGGAGAUGGGAUAGUCAGAAGAGAGAACCGCCUGAUGUGACUAAAACCUAAUAUAGAUAAUUCUGCAGUCAAACAGAGAAGUGAAAAAAAAAAGUGUGUUCAGUAUAUAUUUAUUUUACUCCAAAUGCUUAUAAAAAGGGAUUUGCUG